AAGAUGGGAUGCUGAUUUGGGAUAUAGUUUGAAGAGGGUUUUUCUCUCUGAUUUGGGAUGUUGUUUGAGAGAAAGCCCCAACUAUACUGAUUUCUGAAGAGGAGCUAACUGAUUUUUAGAGGUUGAAAAGGAAGAGGGUUUUUCAUUUUUUUCGGGAAACAACAAGCGGAGCUGAAGGAUUAGGUUUGAGGAACUAAUCCUAUAUGUACAAUUGCUUGAUCCUGUGGUUUCUAGCUUUCCCAUUGCCAAACAGGUGAAAUUACCAGCACCACAGUUUGUCAAACAGGGUUUCCAGCUCCCUACCAAAUUUCACUUGCAUCCCAGAAUCUAUGAAAGUCAGUAGCAGGGGCGAUUCUCAGGGACAUUGUAGUGAAAGUUAUCAACUGCUACCUAACACCAUCUCAGGGGUCUAAGGUCUCUCUCUCCUGCUCUGCUGUUCUCAGUCUACUUUCUCUUCACAACAGUCUUUUGGAUCCAAAUUCUUGACGACAUCGGUGAAACGUUUUACAUGUAAUCUCUGUCUCUGUCGCUCUCUCUCUUUCUCUCUCUCUCUCUCUCUCAAUCAAAUCUCUACAACAAUGAAGCCUUUAUUCUCCAAACAAGCAAUAACUCACCUAAAGCAGAGAAUCACCUCUCUCGCCCUUCUCAAUCUGACCCAUUCCUCUCCAUAUCACUCAACACCUACUGCCAAUGCCCCCUUCACUCUUCCUCACCUCAAAAAAACGAACAAUCUCUCAUUUGCAUUCUCUCUCUAUACCCCAAACUCAAGGCAUCUCAACUCUCUUCAAAUCUCUCGACAAGAAGAGAGAGAAGAAGAAGACCAGGAUGGACCCAUGAAUGAGUUCUUGUCAAGGUUUGUCUAUAUCAUGAGAAGCAAGGUUUCUGAAGCUUACCCCAACUGUAACAAAGAAACCAUUGAUGGAAUGCUUGCUGUUAUAGUCCAGAAAGUGGUUUUAGAGAUGGAGAAGGGCUCGAUAAAUGAUAUGCUGAACUUGGUGAAGGAAACCCAGUUUCAGGAUUUUAGCCAGGAGUUGUGGCGAGCAGUUUGGGAGGUCUGCAAUUUCAUCGUGGAAGACAUGAGAAAGAUGAGAAAGCGAGAGGAAUUGAAGAAGCAUUUACAGUGUGAAGAGGUGAAAGAGAUGUGCAAGUUUGCUCAAGAGGUGGGGAUUCGUGGUGAUAUGCUCAAAGAGCUCAGGCUCAAAUGGGCGCAAGAAAAGAUGGCUGAAACUGAGUUUUAUAGGGGCUUGGAACAAAUGAGAGAAGAAGAAAACGCCUUGUCUGAUGAGGAUGUUGCUUCAUCAAAAGAUGGAAGUUUGCAGAGUGAGGAGGGAGAGAGAGUUGAGGGAGAAAAUGCUGUUGGUGAAGAAACUCAAUCCUUUGUUCUUCCAAAGAGGAAAGGAAAGAUCCAGUAUAAGAUAUAUGGCCUCGAUUUAUCGGGACCCAAGUGGAGAGAAGUGGCUGAGAGGCUUGAAGAUGCGGAAAAAUUGAUUGCUCCACAAGAGACUAAGGAGAUAGAGGGAAAAUGCAAGCUUGUUAUGGACAAAAUGCUUUCUUUGUCGGAUGAUGAGGAUCCAUAUCAGUUAUUGGUUGAAUGGGAAGAGCUUUUAGAGCCGGCCCGAAUUGAUUGGCUUGCCUUGCUUGAGAGACUGAAAGAAAAAAACAAGCCCAGAUUGUGUUUCAAGGUUGCUGAACUUGUUCUAGACAAGAAAUCUUUCGAGCCAAACAUCCGUGACUUCUCAAAGCUCAUAGAUGCCCAUGCUAAGGAAGACCGCAUAGCUGAUGCUGAAAGGAUCCUUGGGAAAAUGACAGAGAAAGGAAUCUCGCCGGACAUUUUAACAUAUAUGACCUUGGUUCACAUGUAUAGCAACUCUAGUAAUCUUGAUCUAGCCAAGCAAGCCUUUGAAGAUAUUAGGGCUCGAGGCUUCCAACCCGACCAAAGGAUUUACAACUCCAUGAUCAUGGCUUACAUAAAAGCGGGCCUACCCAAGUCUGGCGAGUCUUUGAUGAGAGAGAUGGAGGCAAGAGAUAUAAGACCCACAAAGCAAAUCUACAUGGAAUUGCUCAGGGCCUUCGCUCAAGGUGGCCAUGUUGAUGGGGCUCAGAGAAUUGUCAACACAAUGCAAUUUGCAGGGUUUCAGCCUGAUUUAGAAUCAUGCUCUUUGCUUGUUGAGGCCUAUGGACAUGCAGGUGACCCCGAACAAGCUCGAAACAACUAUGAUUACAUGAUAAAAGCUGGCCAUAAGCCUGAUGAUAAGUGCACAGCUAGCUUGUUAGCUGCCUACGAGAAGAAGAACUUGCUGGAUAAGGCUUUAGGCUUGCUAUUGCAUCUAGAGAGAGAAGGGUACAAGUUGGGUACCCACACUUAUGCAGUUUUGGUGGAUUGGCUUGGUAGGUUGCAGCUUGUUGCGGAGGUGGAACAAGUUUUGAGUAAGAUUGGGAGUAAAGAGGAGGUUCCUUUUAAGGUUCAUGUGAGUCUGUGCGAUAUGUAUGCAAGGGCUAGGGUGAGAGAGAAGGCGCUUGAAGCUUUGGGGAUUGUUGAAGAGAAGAAAGAGGCUUUGAGUGGGGAAGAGUUUGAGAGGGUGAUUCAUGGGCUUUUGGCUGGUGGGUUUGUGCAAGAGGCUAGGAGGGUUCAUGAAGGGAUGCAGGGUCAGGGUUUUGUUUCAUCUGAUCCUUUGAAGGUGGCUCUCAUGGCUGCACAGGCUAUGCCUAGGCAAAAGCCAGUUGUGAGAUGAGGCAAAUGGUUGGGGUUUAAGAGCUUUAUUUGGUGGGAUUGGCUUUCACCCAUUUAUUCGUCUUGUUAUGAUGGCUUCAGGAGGGGCCACACUAACGCCAACGACGAAGAAACACCAUUAUCACUUGCACUACAGCUUUUUGCAGCUAAUAAACAUAAUACUUUGUCCAAUCCACCUACUCUUAUGGGCUCUCGUAGCAAUUCUUCCCGCAAUGAGAAACGCCCUCUGGAAAUAAUACCGUUUGAAGGUAAAAAUCCGCCUUUCGCUACCCAUUCACCUUUCAUUUCACCCAUUCAUCAAAUAACUUAUCCAGAAGCUCAUACAUCUACUCCAGCCUAUACUCCUGUUCAAGCAAGGCCGACCCAAAGGCCUAAUCUGCUUUCAUUGAAAGAGCAUAUCUCAUAGACAUUACCAUAGAGGACCAUCAUACAAAUAUGGGCCCAAUCAAACUUGCUUCUUUAUACUUCAUAAACCAUUUGAAUCCUACCAAUGGCAUAAAAGCCCGUGAAUACUAUGAGGCCAUUCUUAUGGAAACAGGGUCCAUCUCUGUUGUCCAUUACUACCAACAAAAUACAAGAGUAAUUGCAUACUCCAAAAUACAAAUCAAGAAGUUGCUUUCAUAUGAGGAGUGGGGUUGCAAUCCCACUCAAGGCAAAAAAUUAAACAAUACUGAUUUUUCAUAC
This is an RNA transcript of Amborella trichopoda, 3415 nucleotides long. It is a transcript of the gene named pentatricopeptide (PPR) repeat-containing protein, with no coding region annotated. The record is from RefSeq and is a predicted model, not a curated record. Lineage: Eukaryota; Viridiplantae; Streptophyta; Magnoliopsida; Amborellales; Amborellaceae.